GAAACCCUCGGGAUUGUAAUUUGAAGAUUUGGCAUUGGAGAAAGCUAACCCAAGUUGCUUGGAAUAGUACGUCAUAGAGGGUGACAACCCCGUCUGGCUAACCGUUCUCCAUGUAUUGCCUUAUCAAAGAGUCGAGUUGUUUGGGAAUGCAGCUCAAAGUGGGUGGUAAACUCCAUCUAAAGCUAAAUACUGGUGAGAGACCGAUAGCGAACAAGUACUGUGAAGGAAAGGUGAAAAGAACUUUGAAAAGAGAGUGAAAUAGUAUGUGAAAUUGUUGAUAGGGAAGGAAAUGAGUGGAGAGUGGCCGAGGUUUCAGCCGCCCCUCGUGGGCGGUGUACUGCCGACGCCGAGUCAUCGAUAGCGAGACGAGGGUUACAAAUGGGAGCGCCUUUCGGGCGUUCUCCCCUAACCCUCCACACUGCCACCGACGACAUAAUCCACCCAUUUCACCCGUCUU
This 457-nucleotide ribosomal RNA is filed under the name Yarrowia lipolytica. RNAcentral describes it as "partial large subunit ribosomal RNA". It matches the Rfam family "Eukaryotic large subunit ribosomal RNA", at positions 130 to 655 of the family's 3401-position model. The record is from RNAcentral. Lineage: Eukaryota; Fungi; Ascomycota; Dipodascomycetes; Dipodascales.